CGAACGGGUGAGUAAUGCGUGACCAACCUGCCCCAUGCUCCAGAAUAGCUCUUGGAAACGGGUGGUAAUGCUGGAUGCUCCAACUUGACGCAUGUCUUGUUGGGAAAGUGUUUAGUGGCAUGGGAUGGGGUCGCGUCCUAUCAGCUUGUAGGCGGGGUAAUGGCCCACCUAGGCUUCGACGGGUAGCCGGCCUGAGAGGGCGGACGGCCACAUUGGGACUGAGAUACGGCCCAGACUCCCUACGGGAGGCAGCAGCA
This 257-nucleotide ribosomal RNA is filed under the name uncultured Gardnerella sp. RNAcentral's name for it is "partial 16S ribosomal RNA". It matches the Rfam family "Bacterial small subunit ribosomal RNA", at positions 99 to 355 of the family's 1533-position model. The record is from RNAcentral. Lineage: Bacteria; Bacillati; Actinomycetota; Actinomycetes; Bifidobacteriales; Bifidobacteriaceae.